Long non-coding RNA from Oreochromis aureus, 767 nucleotides. NCBI's taxonomy places the organism in Eukaryota, Metazoa, Chordata, Actinopteri, Cichliformes, Cichlidae. The record is from Ensembl.
UCAGCUUUUCACUCUGUUGUUUUGUUUCAAGUUGUACACUUUGUUUGUCUACCUUGUGGCUUCCUGUACGUUAGUUUUGGAUUCUUGGAACUUUAAAAAAAAAAAAAUCAAUAUUAUUAUCUCUCUUCACUGUGGAUUUGCCGCACUCAUAUUUAAGCUUUGGAGUUUUCCGCCAACAGCACGGGGUGGACCAGUGCGCAGGCCAAGAGGCGGGAGAACCAGACAUCGCCAGUUAACGUUUAAGGUGUCAGUACUAAGGAAUCCGACACUGACCCACUACCGAUCUCAUAGGGAUGCCACUCCUGCUACUCGGGUGGUCGUUCCUGUAAACCUCAAUGCCGCUGAAUUCAGGCAGGCACUACGGGACAAUAUUGCAGACAUACCUUUGCAGUUCGAUCUAUGCAAAGUGAAUGGACAGCGGCUCAUUCUUCCUCUUGAAGAGGAGACGCCCCAAGAAAUUAGAGCAAGAAACCUACUGGGUCGCUCCAAUCUUUAUAUCCGUCCAAAGAUUACAGAAGCCAAUGACGACUCAACUGGUGGAGAAGUGGUGCAGUCUGAAAUGGCAAUUGUGCUGCAUGACACAGAGACACCUGACCAUGGCAGGCACAAUGUACAGGAGCCAGAGGUUAUCAGUGGUCUGCAUGAAAACCAUACAGCUAAUUCUAGUAGGCCUGGUCUCCAGGAACCAGAGGUUAACAGGCAAGUGUUUUACAUCGACUCUGCAGAGUCAGAAGUAUCAGACCUGGAUGAGGCUGUCCUGGCUUCCC